AAGGAAGUAGCUUAACAGGUAAAGCAGUAUGUGAGAGGUAGCAUAGCUGAAAGACGUUCGACUCGUCGUGAAUAGUGGUAUUUCUGAUGUAGGUUCAACUCCUACCUUCCUUU
RNAcentral lists this transfer RNA (113 nucleotides) under Clostridium butyricum. RNAcentral describes it as "tRNA-OTHER". It matches the Rfam family "tRNA". From Rfam's summary of the family: Transfer RNA (tRNA) molecules are approximately 80 nucleotides in length. Their secondary structure includes four short double-helical elements and three loops (D, anti-codon, and T loops). Lineage: Bacteria; Bacillati; Bacillota; Clostridia; Eubacteriales; Clostridiaceae. The record is from RNAcentral.